This 464-nucleotide ribosomal RNA is filed under the name uncultured bacterium. RNAcentral describes it as "partial 16S ribosomal RNA". It matches the Rfam family "Bacterial small subunit ribosomal RNA", at positions 339 to 795 of the family's 1533-position model. The record is from RNAcentral.
CUACGGGUCGCUGCAGUGGGGAAUAUUGGACAAUGGGCGCAAGCCUGAUCCAGCAAUACCGCGUGUGUGAAGAAGGCCUGCGGGUUGUAAAGCACUUUCAAUUGGGAAGAAAAGCCUGAGGCUAAUAUCCUCGGGUCUUGACGUUACCUUUAGAAGAAGCACCGGCUAACUCCGUGCCAGCAGCCGCGGUAAUACGGAGGGUGCGAGCGUUAAUCGGAAUUACUGGGCGUAAAGCGCGCGUAGGCGGCUUGUUAAGUCAGAUGUGAAAGCCCCGGGCUCAACCUGGGAACUGCAUUUGAUACUGGCAGGCUAGAGUGUGGUAGAGGGAAGUGGAAUUCCAGGUGUAGCGGUGAAAUGCGUAGAUAUCUGGAGGAACAUCAGUGGCGAAGGCGACUUCCUGGACCAACACUGACGCUGAGGUGCGAAAGCGUGGGUAGCAAACAGGAUUAGAUACCCUGGUAGUC